This 2920-nucleotide ribosomal RNA is filed under the name Haemophilus influenzae. RNAcentral's name for it is "bacterial LSU rRNA". It matches the Rfam family "Bacterial large subunit ribosomal RNA". The record is from RNAcentral. Lineage: Bacteria; Pseudomonadati; Pseudomonadota; Gammaproteobacteria; Pasteurellales; Pasteurellaceae.
GUUGUAUAGUUAAGUGACUAAGCGUACAAGGUGGAUGCCUUGGCAAUCAGAGGCGAAGAAGGACGUGCUAAUCUGCGAAAAGCUUGGAUGAGUCGAUAAGAGGCGUUUAAUCCAAGAUAUCCGAAUGGGGAAACCCAGUAGAUGAAGAAUCUACUAUCAACAAGUGAAUUCAUAGCUUGUUGAGGCAAACCGGGAGAACUGAAACAUCUAAGUACCCCGAGGAAAAGAAAUCAACCGAGAUUUCGUCAGUAGCGGCGAGCGAAAGCGAAAGAGCCAGUAAGUGAUAGCAAUAUAGUGAGGAGAAUGUGUUGGGAAGCACAAUCAAAGAGGGUGAUAAUCCCGUAUCUAAAAACCAUAUUGUGGUACUAAGCUAACGAGAAGUAGGGCGGGACACGUGAUAUCCUGUUUGAAGAAGGGGGGCCCAUCCUCCAAGGCUAAAUACUCCUGAUUGACCGAUAGUGAACCAGUACUGUGAAGGAAAGGCGAAAAGAACCCCGGUGAGGGGAGUGAAAUAGAACCUGAAACCUUGUACGUACAAGCAGUGGGAGCGAGGGCAACCUUGUGACUGCGUACCUUUUGUAUAAUGGGUCAGCGACUUAUAUUUUGUAGCGAGGUUAACCGAAUAGGGGAGCCGAAGGGAAACCGAGUCUUAACUGGGCGAAUAGUUGCAAGGUAUAGACCCGAAACCCGGUGAUCUAGCCAUGGGCAGGUUGAAGGUUGGGUAACACUAACUGGAGGACCGAACCGACUAAUGUUGAAAAAUUAGCGGAUGACUUGUGGCUGGGGGUGAAAGGCCAAUCAAACCGGGAGAUAGCUGGUUCUCCCCGAAAUCUAUUUAGGUAGAGCCUUGAGGUGACACCUUUGGGGGUAGAGCACUGUUUCGGCUAGGGGGCCAUCCCGGCUUACCAACCCGAUGCAAACUACGAAUACCAAAGAGUGAUACUCAGGAGACACACGGCGGGUGCUAACGUCCGUCGUGGAGAGGGAAACAACCCAGACCGCCAGCUAAGGUCCCCAAGUCUAUAUUAAGUGGGAAACGAAGUGGGAAGGCUUAGACAGCUAGGAUGUUGGCUUAGAAGCAGCCAUCAUUUAAAGAAAGCGUAAUAGCUCACUAGUCGAGUCGGCCUGCGCGGAAGAUGUAACGGGGCUGAAAUAUAGCACCGAAGCUGCGGCAUCAGAAUUUAUUCUGUUGGGUAGGGGAGCGUUGUGUAAGCGGAAGAAGGUUCAUCGAGAGGUGGGCUGGACGUAUCACAAGUGCGAAUGCUGACAUAAGUAACGAUAAAACGGGUGAAAAACCCGUUCGCCGGAAGACCAAGGGUUCCUGUCCAACGUUAAUCGGGGCAGGGUGAGUCGGCUCCUAAGGCGAGGCUGAAAAGCGUAGUCGAUGGGAAACAGGUUAAUAUUCCUGUACUUGGUAAAGCUGCGAUGUGGGGACGGAGUAGGUUAGGUUAUCGCACUGUUGGAUAUGUGCGUUUAAGUUGGUAGGUGGGAAGUUUAGGCAAAUCCGGACUUCCUUAACACAGAGAGAUGAUGACGAGGCUCUACGGAGCUGAAGUAACUGAUACCACACUUCCAGGAAAAGCCACUAAGCGAAAGGCUUUACUAAACCGUACUGAAAACCGACACAGGUGGUCAGGUAGAGAAUACUCAGGCGCUUGAGAGAACUCGGGUGAAGGAACUAGGCAAAAUAGCACCGUAACUUCGGGAGAAGGUGCGCCGGCGUAGAUUGUAAGGGCUAGCCCCUGAAGGUUGAACCGGUCGAAGAUACCAGCUGGCUGCAACUGUUUAUUAAAAACACAGCACUCUGCAAACACGAAAGUGGACGUAUAGGGUGUGAUGCCUGCCCGGUGCUGGAAGGUUAAUUGAUGGUGUCAUCGAAAGAGAAGCACCUGAUCGAAGCCCCAGUAAACGGCGGCCGUAACUAUAACGGUCCUAAGGUAGCGAAAUUCCUUGUCGGGUAAGUUCCGACCUGCACGAAUGGCAUAAUGAUGGCCAGGCUGUCUCCACCCGAGACUCAGUGAAAUUGAAAUCGCCGUGAAGAUGCGGUGUACCCGCGGCUAGACGGAAAGACCCCGUGAACCUUUACUAUAGCUUGACACUGAACAUUGAAUUUUGAUGUGUAGGAUAGGUGGGAGCCUUUGAAGCAGUGACGCCAGUCAUUGUGGAGGCGACCUUGAAAUACCACCCUUUAACGUUUGAUGUUCUAACGAAGAUGACGAAACGUGGUCUCGGACAGUGUCUGGUGGGUAGUUUGACUGGGGCGGUCUCCUCCCAAAGCGUAACGGAGGAGCACGAAGGUUUGCUAAUCACGGUCGGACAUCGUGAGGUUAGUGCAAUGGUAUAAGCAAGCUUAACUGCGAGACAGACAAGUCGAGCAGGUACGAAAGUAGGUCAUAGUGAUCCGGUGGUUCUGAAUGGAAGGGCCAUCGCUCAACGGAUAAAAGGUACUCCGGGGAUAACAGGCUGAUACCGCCCAAGAGUUCAUAUCGACGGCGGUGUUUGGCACCUCGAUGUCGGCUCAUCACAUCCUGGGGCUGAAGUAGGUCCCAAGGGUAUGGCUGUUCGCCAUUUAAAGUGGUACGCGAGCUGGGUUUAGAACGUCGUGAGACAGUUCGGUCCCUAUCUGCCGUGGGCGUAGGAUGAUUGAUUGGGGCUGCUCCUAGUACGAGAGGACCGGAGUGGACGCAUCACUGGUGUUCCGGUUGUGUCGCCAGACGCAUUGCCGGGUAGCUAAAUGCGGAAGAGAUAAGUGCUGAAAGCAUCUAAGCACGAAACUUGCCAAGAGAUGAGUCAUCCCUGACUUUAAGUCAGUAAGGGUUGUUGUAGACUACGACGUAGAUAGGUUGGGUGUGUAAGUGAUGUGAGUCAUUGAGCUAACCAAUACUAAUUGCCCGAGAGGCUUAACUAUACAACGCUCAAG